GGUCGAUUGGAUGAGUGGUUGAGUCGACGGUCUGCAAAACCGUUUAGUCCGGUUCGAUUCCGGGAUCGACCUCA
This 74-nucleotide transfer RNA is filed under the name Caudoviricetes sp. RNAcentral's name for it is "tRNA-Cys". It matches the Rfam family "tRNA". Rfam says of the family: Transfer RNA (tRNA) molecules are approximately 80 nucleotides in length. Their secondary structure includes four short double-helical elements and three loops (D, anti-codon, and T loops). Lineage: Duplodnaviria; Heunggongvirae; Uroviricota; Caudoviricetes. The record is from RNAcentral.